CCUACGGGAGGCAGCAGUGGGGAAUUUUGGACAAUGGACGCAAGUCUGAUCCAGCCAUGCCGCGUGUGGGAAGAAGGCCUUCGGGUUGUAAACCACUUUUGUCAGGGAAGAAACGGCCUGGGUUAAUACCUUGGGCUAAUGACGGUACCUGAAGAAUAAGCACCGGCUAACUACGUGCCAGCAGCCGCGGUAAUACGUAGGGUGCAAGCGUUAAUCGGAAUUACUGGGCGUAAAGCGUGCGCAGGCGGUUAUGCAAGACAGAUGUGAAAUCCCCGGGCUCAACCUGGGAACUGCAUUUGUGACUGCAUGGCUAGAGUACGGUAGAGGGGGAUGGAAUUCCGCGUGUAGCAGUGAAAUGCGUAGAUAUGCGGAGGAACACCGAUGGCGAAGGCAAUCCCCUGGACCUGUACUGACGCUCAUGCACGAAAGCGUGGGGAGCAAACAGGAUUAGAUACCCUGGUAGUCCACGCCCUAAACGAUGUCAACUGGUUGUUGGGAGGGUUUCUUCUCAGUAACGUAGCUAACGCGUGAAGUUGACCGCCUGGGGAGUACGGCCGCAAGGUUGAAACUCAAAGGAUUGACGG
RNAcentral lists this ribosomal RNA (584 nucleotides) under uncultured bacterium. RNAcentral's name for it is "bacterial SSU rRNA". It matches the Rfam family "Bacterial small subunit ribosomal RNA", at positions 338 to 916 of the family's 1533-position model. The record is from RNAcentral.